Non-coding RNA from Leptodontidium sp. 2 PMI_412, 76 nucleotides. The record is from the annotation of a GenBank genome assembly. NCBI's taxonomy places the organism in Eukaryota, Fungi, Ascomycota, Leotiomycetes, Helotiales, Leptodontidiaceae.
GGCUAUAUAGUGUAGUAGUAACACAUUAAGUAUUCUUAAUAUUUCUUUAUCUUCGGUUCGAAUCCGAAUAUAGCUC